GGUUGCAUCUGUGAUAUUUGGAAGUUCCCAGGCUAGGGGGUCAAUUGGAGCUGCAGCUGCCAGCCACAGCCACACCAGAUCCGAACUGCAUCUGUAAACUACACCACCCCUUGCGGCAAUGCCAGAUUCUUAACCCACUGUGCAAGGCUAGGGAUUGAACUCACAUCCUCACGGAUACUAGUCAGGAUCUUAACCCUCCAAGCCACAACAGGAACUCUCCCUUCUCUACUUUCUAAAUGAGAAUUUGAGAAUGAUGGCUGGUAUGUGCAAGGCCAGGUAGAGGAAAAGGGAAAAAGAAAAAGAGAGAUACCUAUUUCUCUUGUAACAAUUUCUCAGUUCAAAAAAAAAAAAAACUCUUUACAGUGGCCCAGGACACCAGUCUUUAGAUUGCUGCUUUAAAGAGAAGCUCCCCUUUGAAGUGAGUGCCUCCUUUAACAGGGCAGGACUUGAUCCCAUGGGAGUUACUCCUUUUUCUCCACCAUCUCAGGUCUUAGGCUUGUUCUCAUAAUGUUGAAUGCUUAGCAUUUUCUGUUUCUUGAGCUAUCCUGGCCCUAUCAUUUUGAUCCCACAGUGAACUCAGCCAGUGAUGCACCAAACAGCUGCAAACUCAUUACCACGUUCUCCGGGAGGGUGUGUCCCUCUCCCUCUCAUAUUCUUUCCUUCCCUGUCUUACAUUAUUGCUCACAAUUUUCUCAUGGAUCAGCUAACCAUAGGUUGAUUCAAUCAUGAAUUUGAUGCAGUGCCAUAAAAUACCUGAAAUCAAGAUAGCCGAGUUCUUUGAUUACACUGUGCAAGGAUCCAACAGGACUUUUUUCCUCCACUUUUUCUCCUCCAACAGUAUCUGUGUUCUGGACCUUAGACACCUCCCUUCUCCCAUGCACUUGGGACAGUGAGGACUUUCAGAAAGAAGCAUAAUUAUAUAACCCUCCUCCCGUCCCCAGCGAUGGUAACUUGCCUGAACCUGUACAGAACAAGGGCUGUCAUAACUCUGUAGCCCUCACGGAACAUGGCAAGGAGGCGUGCUCCUCAAAAAGGAAGUUUGGCAUGACCAAAGCCUACUUGACUUACACAUUAAGGAUUUUUUUAAUGUUUUAAUACCAACAAUUCAGAAGAUAGUAAUCAUGGGAGAUAAGAGCUCAAGUUCCACUUGGUAUUCAAAAUCUCAUGAGUAGUUAUUUCCUUCCAAAGAAUUUAUGAAAUGAAUAGAGUUUGCCUGAAAUGAAAAAGCGAACCAAACAUUCGUGGACACCUACAAUAUCCCAGGCCCUGAGUUAGAGGUUCCAGCUGUGCUAUUUAAUUUAGUCAUCAUAAUAGCUCUGAGAGCUUGGCUUUAUUAUUCCCAUUUCAUAGUCAAGAAAUCUGAGGAUGAGAGGUUAUAUAAUUUGCCCAAGAUCAAAUUGAGCUAAGGGUGGAACCCAGACUCGUCUUUCUUCUUCAUUAUAUGGCUUUCUUAUAAAAGAUAGAGUGAAUACAAAUGGCAGAGUGGAAGACAAAGAUAAGCCACCUAAAAAGGAAAAUCAAGAGGCUGUACAAUGGAAAAAUAUCAAAGGCAUUUGCUUAGAUUAUGGAACCAAAAUAUUUCUCAGUCUGUAAGAUUCCAAUAUGUGUUUUUUAAACCUGCCAUCAAGCAAUUAAUAUGAUGCUCUUUGGAUGCUGACCAGAUAUCUCACAAAUUUCUGACACUAUAUACCUAGAGAUAGGGUCAGAUUCCACAAGUUAAGGGCUCAGUCCCACAAGGCUGCCCCCUCCCUUCAGAUGACAAUUGAAGUCAAGGUUGUCACCUGUGUUUCUGACCAACCAGCUACAAAUUAGAGGUUCCCACAGCUACCUCCUCUGGUUUAAUUCAUUUGCUCAUGCAACUUACAGAACUUAGGAAACCCGUUUACCUACUAGGUUGCCAGUUUAUUACAAAGGAUACCAAGGGAUACUAAUCAACAGCCAGAUGAAGAUACACAGGUCAAUUUCCUGAAGACAGGAACUUCUGACUCAUGGAGUUUGGAGCCCAGCACGAGGAUGUGUUCAUCUACUGAAUCUCAGAACCUCUCUGAAAGCUCAUCCUUUGUCCUUUUGGGGUUUUAUGGAGGCGUCUUUAUGCAGGCAUGGUUGAUUAAAUCUAUCAUUGUUGGAUGAACUCAAUCUGUGGCCCCUCUCCCCACCCCACAAGUCAGAGGGUGGGGCUGAAAGUUCCAGCACUCCAAUUAAGGCUUGUUCCCCUGGCAACCAGCCCCUGCUCUUUGGUUACCUUGGGGCUUUCCAAAAGUCACCUCAUUAACAUAAGAUGAGAGGCUGACCCAUUGAUAGCUUCACUUAAGAAAUUCCAAGAGUUUUAGGAGUUCUGUGCCAGAAAGAGGGAGGAAGACAAAACAUGUACUUCUUAUAAUAAAUCUCAACAGCACAACAAUUAAAAACCAUCAACAACAGGCAAACAUUUUAAAUAAAGACAGAUUUGAGAGGUAAUGAGAGACAUGAAUAGAAAGUUUUAGGGUAGAUGAGAGUACAACCUAAGAGACAGAUAGGAAAGGAGAAUGAGCACCAAAAGCUUGUCCAUGGGUAGGUGAAUGCACCACAACAAAGAUGCCGUUAGAGACAUGACCAAGGUUGUGGAGAAUAGGAAUGUGGAUGACUGCAGCUAAAACCAAGUAUUUUUUAAGUCUGGUUAAAAAGAAGAGGAACAAUUUUAAAAUGUUUCUGAGGAACAGACAUGCAAUAUUCUGAUGUUUGUAGAAACAGUGAGUUUCUGUUAAUGAGGGAAAAUACAGAUAUGAAAUACCUUUGAUAACAUCAAAAUAAAACUACAGAGACAGGCGCCAGUGCUAAUACCAGCAAGUAGUUAUUCAGAGAAAGGAGCUAUGUAGAUUAGAAAGCUGGGCUCCACUUUUUUCUUCAAGGUACCUGAAGAAACCCUGGUGAAUUCAAUUCCCUUCCCUUCUUUGCUUUUCUUUGGCUCAUUGCUAAGGUGCAAGCAGCCAGAUGCUGCCACAAUGCCCAGGCAAUAAAGAGUUGGUUGUGAAGACACACCUGUUACUCUUUCUUUUAUAGGUAGGAACACACAGUGCUGGUUAGGACUUACAUCAGGCCUAAAAAUGCCUAAUGUACCCACUGUCUAGAGGGCAACUAGUGGGCACAGUCCUCGCUCGGUUACAGACACCUCCUGGACCGUAUUGCACACAGCUGUCUUUAUGGACUAUAGGAUAGGAAUUGAGGUUAAUUGCCAUGAAAGACACACACCAUAUGAUCUUUUUAUGUCUAUUUAGUAAGAUGGUUCCAGCCUAGGGAGGUUUUCCCAGGAGCACCAUAGUGAUUUGUUCUCAUGGUUUUUGUGCUCCUUAGGUUCACGGGUUAUGCACAAGCUGAUGGGGCUAAUUGUCAGUGCUCUUGCAGAAGCCCCUUUAAAUUUAGGCCCCCUACCUCCUGCCUAAAUGUCCAGACCUGUUGUCUUCUUGGGCUUCAGUUUUCCCACAUUUUGUAGUCUGUAUCAUUUAACUGCUGUUGGAAACGAGGAGAAAAAAAAAAAAUUACCACAACUGGAGGCUGGCAGCCUUGACUGUUGCUCUCUGCUCCCGAGAGAUUUUGUUUUUUCGAAUCAUAGAAUAAAAUGAUUUAAGAAAAAGAAUCCUCAGCGCUCAGGCUCUGCCUUCUAGCUUCAAAGCCUUUUUACAAGCUGCAAUUCAUUAAACACAAUAAUCGUUUGAGGCCAGUGGACCGACCUCUGCAGGGAGAGGGGCCAAGGCCUCCCACCCCACCCUCUUUCUCUUUGUGUUCCGGACCACAGCAUCACCGCAGCGGCGCAGGAGGGGGUGGGAUCAUGGUGCUCCCACCAGGCGGCUGCCCAUGGCCCUCUGCCCAGGCCUGCCUUUCCUCUCGUUUCCUCUCGUCCCUGCCAGGGCUCCACGCUCCACUUAGCCAUUGGGUACAGGAGCUUCUCUCCUCCAGGCUGCAUUUGUCUGCCUUUCACAAAACAGACAGUCUGCCCACAUUUUUAUUUCUUUUCUAUAAAUGAAGAAUUUCCUAGCCAUGAGACCCAGCUGAGCCUGACAUCUUCCCCCUGGGACAGAUUCCUCCUUGCUUUGCCACUCGAGGGGCCACAGCCAAGCGGCGGCAUCGCACCCCUUUGUCACCAUGAGACAGAGCCAGCCUCCCAGCCACAUCCACUCACCCCUUGGCAGCUCCCCAUCCACUGCUGCCAAGUGGUUGCGUCUCCAGAGAGGGGUGGGCAUGGUGGAUGGUGGGUAUCCAGGCCACUGAAAUGAGUCCAUGGGCCAUUGAGCUCCCAUCAGUCAUUCCACAGCUUGAAAAUCCCAUUUUUUUUUGCUUUCUGUUCUUCCACAUGGACCUACCCAGACCUUUAGAGAGGGGGAAAAAAUAAUAAAACACCCACAGGGCACAACCAUGGCAUACUAAAUUUCAUAAGGCAAUGCUGAAUUAAUUUUUACAGUUCUUUCUUUCCAGGUCCUUCCCUCUCCUCAACUCUGCCCACUAGUUAAAGAAAAAACAAGCCUAGGAGCCCCUUAAAAUGCUAACAUCAAUAAUAACAGUAUCAGAAGGCAGGUUUGGUCUGCUUUGCACUGCUGAUCAUUGCCCAGUGGUACUGAAAAUAUUCAUGAGUUUCAUUCACAGAACAACCGUAGAAGCAAAAACAUGUGCUGGGAUCUUCAUGGGCCAGGGUUCAUGUGGGUAAAAGAUGAGGAACCACACCCCAAGCUAGGCCUGCCCCCUCCUGUGCCCUCUCACCCAGACUCUCUGCCUUUUCUCCAGGUCUGCCCCCAAGGCACACAUUUUCUGUGAUGCUCUCUCCUUCUGACCAAAGAUCUAUAUCCUGUCCUGUUUUUAAGGCCCAACUCCCUCUUCCAGAAACUUCUCGAAGUCUUCAUUAUCUGCUCCAGCCAAAAUGGAUCUCUCUCUCUUUUUUUAAUUCUUAAAGUGUUUGUACUCACCAAUAUCGCAAUUUAUAAUUUGGGACCUGGAAGGAGCCUAGACUCCCACCCUCUCUGUUGACAGAAGAGAAAAUGGAGUUGCUAUGAGUGUAAGUGAUUUUCCCUCCAUUGCAUAGUUGGUUUGCAGAAGGGCAAGAUAAGAAGCCAAGUCUCCCAGCAAUGGCCUGCCUCACUGCAUCCCUGAGAGAGAAGGGUGCCAUGGACCACCAAGGGCAGUGCACAUCGGACAUGGCAUACUUGGUCCCCCUAAAAAGCAAACGAGGCAAAAGUGCCACUGCUUUCAGUAGAAGUCAUUUAAAUCCUCUGUCAGGCUGCAGGCGGGGCCCCCUUUGGACAGAGCAUACUCAGAAGUGUUUACUAACAUAUUCAAAGUUGAAAACUAUCACUUUACGGUGAGGCUAACUACACUAACCUGACCAUGAAGACGAACUGUGGGACAAGACUUGGUCAUAAGGAGGAGGUCCAGAUGAUUCAGAAUAUAUGCAUGUUAAAUUAGCCUUUUCCUUUUCCUUUAUUUAUUUAUUUGUUCUCUAGGGCCACUCGUACAGCAUAUGGAAGUUCCCAGGCUAGAGGUCGAAUCGGUGUUACAGCUGCCAGCUGACACCACAGCCACGCCACAGCCACACCAGAUCCAAGCUGCAUCUGCAGCCUACACACACAGCUCACAGCAAUGCCAGAUCCUUAACCCCCUGAGCGAGGCCAGGGAUCAAACCUGCGUCCUCAUGGAUAGUAGUCGUAUUCAUUUCUGAUGCUCCAUGACCAGAACUCCCAAGACUUUUCCUUUUAAAAUAAUUUCAAACCUAUAGAAAACCUUCAAGACAGCAAAGAACUUUUUGUUUUCUGAACCUUUUAAGUUGCUGACAAGAUGGGCUAUGACCCCCUCCCCCAAUUAUUUCAGUGUGUGAUUCCUACUAAAAAGUGUAUUUUUCUAAUUAACCACAGUGCAAACAUCCAAAUCCAGACACUCACACUAAUACAUUACAGGUCUCUAAUUCACAGACCCCAUUCAUGUUUUGCCAAUUGCCCCGGGAAUGUUCUUUAUGUGUUAGACUUUUCUGUGUUAGAUCUAGUUAUCAUGUUUCUUAAUCCCCAUCAAGCUAGGACAUUUCUUCAGUCUUUUCCUUGAGUUUUGUGACUUCAACAUUUUUGAAAAGAUUAUGGGCCAAUUAUGUUGUGAAAAAUUCCUCAAUUUGGGUUUAUGUGUAUUUCGUAGUCUUGUAGACAAGAUUACACAUUUUGGGUAGAAAUAUCGCAGAACUGAUGCUCACAUUUUAUCUCAGGGGGACAUCAGUUUGUCCUUUAACCUCUUACGAGCAGAAUAACACAGCAUCAAAACACAUUAAGCAAA
This 6282-nucleotide long non-coding RNA is filed under the name Sus scrofa (pig). RNAcentral's name for it is "lncRNA (ENSSSCG00015039700.1)". The record is from RNAcentral. Lineage: Eukaryota; Metazoa; Chordata; Mammalia; Artiodactyla; Suidae.